UGGGGAAUUUUGGACAAUGGGCGAAAGCCUGAUCCAGCAAUGCCGCGUGUGUGAAGAAGGCCUUCGGGUUGUAAAGCACUUUUGUCCGGAAAGAAAUCCUUGGCUCUAAUACAGUCGGGGGAUGACGGUACCGGAAGAAUAAGCACCGGCUAACUACGUGCCAGCAGCCGCGGUAAUACGUAGGGUGCAAGCGUUAAUCGGAAUUACUGGGCGUAAAGCGUGCGCAGGCGGUUUGCUAAGACCGAUGUGAAAUCCCCGGGCUCAACCUGGGAACUGCAUUGGUGACUGGCAGGCUAGAGUAUGGCAGAGGGGGGUAGAAUUCCACGUGUAGCAGUGAAAUGCAUAGAGAUGUGGAGGAAUACCGAUGGCGAAGGCAGCCCCCUGGGCCAAAUACUGACGCUCAUGCACGAAAAGCGUGGGGGAGCAAAACAGGAUUAGAUACCCUGGUAGUCCACGCCCUAAAACGAUGUCAACUAGUUGUUGGGGAUUCAUUUCCUUAGUAACGUAGCUAACGCGUGAAGUUGACCGCCUGGGGAGUACGGUCGCAAGAUUAAAAACUCAAAGGAAUUGACGGGGUCAUAGCUG
RNAcentral lists this ribosomal RNA (585 nucleotides) under uncultured bacterium. RNAcentral's name for it is "partial 16S ribosomal RNA". It matches the Rfam family "Bacterial small subunit ribosomal RNA", at positions 355 to 932 of the family's 1533-position model. The record is from RNAcentral.